This 699-nucleotide ribosomal RNA is filed under the name uncultured Rhodobacter sp. RNAcentral's name for it is "bacterial SSU rRNA". It matches the Rfam family "Bacterial small subunit ribosomal RNA", at positions 94 to 828 of the family's 1533-position model. The record is from RNAcentral. Lineage: Bacteria; Pseudomonadati; Pseudomonadota; Alphaproteobacteria; Rhodobacterales.
AGCGGCGGACGGGUGAGUAACGCGUGGGAACGUGCCUUCCUCUUCGGAAUAGCCCCGGGAAACUGGGAGUAAUACCGGAUACGCCCGAGAGGGGAAAGAUUUAUCGGGGGGAGAUCGGCCCGCGUUGGAUUAGGUAGUUGGUGGGGUAACGGCCUACCAAGCCGACGAUCCAUAGCUGGUUUGAGAGGAUGAUCAGCCACGCUGGGACUGAGACACGGCCCAGACUCCUACGGGAGGCAGCAGUGGGGAAUCUUGGACAAUGGGGGGAACCCUGAUCCAGCCAUGCCGCGUGAGCGAUGAAGGCCUUCGGGUUGUAAAGCUCUUUCGUGGGGGAAGAUAAUGACUGUACCCCAAGAAGAAGCCCCGGCUAACUCCGUGCCAGCAGCCGCGGUAAUACGGAGGGGGCUAGCGUUGUUCGGAAUUACUGGGCGUAAAGCGCACGUAGGCGGGCUGUUAAGUCGGGGGUGAAAUCCCGGGGCUCAACCCCGGAACUGCCUCCGAUACUGGCGGUCUUGAGUCCGAGAGAGGUGGGUGGAAUUCCUAGUGUAGGAGUGAAAUCCGUAGAUAUUAGGAGGAACAUCAAUGGCGAAGGCAGCUAACUGGGGUACUUCUGACACUGAGGCACGAAAGCGUGGGUAGCAAACAGGAUUAGAUACCCUGGUAGUCCACGCCCUAAACGAUGGGUGCUAGAUGUUGGGG